RNAcentral lists this non-coding RNA (204 nucleotides) under Onchocerca ochengi. Its description in RNAcentral is "Eukaryotic large subunit ribosomal RNA". It matches the Rfam family "Eukaryotic large subunit ribosomal RNA", at positions 971 to 1170 of the family's 3401-position model. Lineage: Eukaryota; Metazoa; Nematoda; Chromadorea; Rhabditida; Onchocercidae. The record is from Rfam by way of RNAcentral.
UUUUUAGAGAGAUGGAAUACGUAAUGAAGCUGUUAUAUUUGGUUAAUCGCUUGAUUAGAAAAAUUGCGAGACGAAACGUCUUCAAUCUAUUCUCAAACUUUCAAUGAGUAUGACGUCUUGUUUGCUUGAAUGAAGCAUAGAAAUUGAAGUAUAUUCCAAAUGGGCCAUUUUUGGUAAGCAGAAUUGGCGCUAUGAAAUGAUUUA